Molecule: ribosomal RNA, 255 nt
Filed under: uncultured bacterium
Lineage: Bacteria
Description: partial 16S ribosomal RNA
Rfam family: Bacterial small subunit ribosomal RNA
Source: RNAcentral
UACAGAGGUCCCAAGCGUUGUUCGGAUUUACUGGGCGUAAAGGGCGCGUAGGCGGCCACCGCAAGUCGACUGUGAAAUCUCCGGGCUUAACUCGGAAAGGUCAGCCGAUACUGCGGGGCUAGAGUGCAGAAGGGGCAACUGGAAUUCUCGGUGUAGCGGUGAAAUGCGUAGAUAUCGAGAGGAACACCUGCGGCGAAGGCGGGUUGCUGGGCUGACACUGACGCUGAUUGUGCGAAAGCUAGGGGAGCGAACGGG